This 541-nucleotide ribosomal RNA is filed under the name uncultured bacterium. RNAcentral describes it as "partial 16S ribosomal RNA". It matches the Rfam family "Bacterial small subunit ribosomal RNA", at positions 355 to 885 of the family's 1533-position model. The record is from RNAcentral.
UGGGGAAUAUUGCACAAUGGGCGCAAGCCUGAUGCAGCCAUGCCGCGUGUGUGAAGAAGGCCUUCGGGUUGUAAAGCACUUUCAGCGAGGAGGAAGGUGGUGAGCUUAAUACGCUCAUCAAUUGACGUUACUCGCAGAAGAAGCACCGGCUAACUCCGUGCCAGCAGCCGCGGUAAUACGGAGGGUGCAAGCGUUAAUCGGAAUUACUGGGCGUAAAGCGCACGCAGGCGGUUUGUUAAGUCAGAUGUGAAAUCCCCGGGCUCAACCUGGGAACUGCAUUUGAAACUGGCAAGCUAGAGUCUCGUAGAGGGGGGCUAGAAUUCCAGGUGUAGCGGUGAAAUGCGUAGAGAUCUGGAGGAAUACCGGUGGCGAAGGCGGCCCCCCUGGACGAAGACUGACGCUCAGGUGCGAAAGCGUGGGGCAGCAAACAGGAUUAGAUACCCUGGUAGUCCACGCUGUAAACGAUGUCGAUUUGGAGGUUGUGCCCUUGAGGCGUGGCUUCCGGAGCUAACGCGUUAAAUCGACCGCCUGGGGAGUACGG